This 442-nucleotide ribosomal RNA is filed under the name uncultured bacterium. RNAcentral's name for it is "partial 16S ribosomal RNA". It matches the Rfam family "Bacterial small subunit ribosomal RNA", at positions 338 to 795 of the family's 1533-position model. The record is from RNAcentral.
CCUACGGGAGGCAGCAGUGGGGAAUAUUGGGCAAUGGGCGCAAGCCUGACCCAGCAACGCCGCGUGAAGGAAGAAGGCUUUCGGGCUGUAAACCUCUUUUAAGGGGGAAGAGCAGAAGACGGUACCCCUUGAAUAAGCCACGGCUAAUUACGUGCCAGCAGCCGCGGUAAUACGUAGGUGGCAAGCGCUGUCCGGAUUUACUGGGUGUAAAGGGCGUGCAGCCGGAGAGUCAAGUCAGAUGUGAAAUCCACGGGCUCAAUCCGUGAACUGCAUUUGAAACUGUUUGCCUUGAGUGUCGGAGAGGUAAUCGGAAUUCCUGGUGUAGCGGUGAAAUGCGUAGAUAUAAGGAAGAACACCAGUGGCGAAGGCGGAUUACUGGACGGUAACUGACGGUGAGGCGCGAAAGCGUGGGGAGCAAACAGGAUUAGAUACCCGGGUAGUC